Molecule: ribosomal RNA, 495 nt
Filed under: uncultured bacterium
Lineage: Bacteria
Description: partial 16S ribosomal RNA
Rfam family: Bacterial small subunit ribosomal RNA
Source: RNAcentral
GAUGAACGCUGGCGGCGUGCCUAAUACAUGCAAGUAGAACGCUGAAGGAGGAGCUUGCUCUUCUGGAUGAGUUGCGAACGGGUGAGUAACGCGUAGGUAACCUGCCUGGUAGCGGGGGAUAACUAUUGGAAACGAUAGCUAAUACCGCAUGACAACAGUUAUUGCAUGAUAACUGUUUAAAAGGGGCAACUGCUCCACUACCAGAUGGACCUGCGUUGUAUUAGCUAGUUGGUGAGGUAACGGCUCACCAAGGCGACGAUACAUAGCCGACCUGAGAGGGUGAUCGGCCACACUGGGACUGAGACACGGCCCAGACUCCUACGGGAGGCAGCAGUAGGGAAUCUUCGGCAAUGGACGGAAGUCUGACCGAGCAACGCCGCGUGAGUGAAGAAGGGUGUCGGAUCGUAAAGCUCUGUUGUAAGAGAAGAACGAGUGUGAGAGUGGAAAGUUCACACUGUGACGGUAUCUUACCAGAAAGGGACGGCUAACUACGUA